RNAcentral lists this ribosomal RNA (480 nucleotides) under uncultured soil bacterium. Its description in RNAcentral is "bacterial SSU rRNA". It matches the Rfam family "Bacterial small subunit ribosomal RNA", at positions 26 to 489 of the family's 1533-position model. The record is from RNAcentral.
AGAGUGAACGCUGGCGGCAGGCCUAAUACAUGCAAGUCGAGCGGCAGCACGGCAGAGCUUGCUCUGUGGGUGGCGAGUGGCGGACGGGUGAGGAAUACAUGGGAAUCUGCCCAGUCGUGGGGGAUAACGUAUGGAAACGUACGCUAAUACCGCAUGCGCCCUUCGGGGGAAAGCCGGGGACCUUCGGGCCUGGCGCGAUUGGAUGAGCCCAUGUCGGAUUAGCUAGUUGGCGGGUAACGCCCACCAAGGCGACGAUCCGUAGCUGGUCUGAGAGGAUGAUCAGCCACACUGGAACUGAGACACGGUCCAGACUCCUAGGGAGCAGCAGUAGGGAAUAUUGGACAAUGGGCGCAAGCCUGAUCCAGCCAUGCCGCGUGUGUAGAAGAAGGCCUUCGGUUAGUAAAGACUACUUUGUACCGGAAAGAAAAGACGACGUCGGUUAACACCCGUGGUGUCCGUCGUAACGGUACCGGAAAGUAA